GGAGGAAAGGGCUGGCCGAUGCGGCAGAUUAAAAGGUCACGAUUGGGAAUCGGCCAAUUGAUGCUACAGUUGGGGAUCAGCUGAUUGGCGCUUCAAUGUUUUGGCAGACAGAGUUGGUGGAGAUCGGCCGAUUGGAAGACUGGAGCGAUUGGGCCAAUAUGGGCUUAAAAUGGGUCAGAGGAAGAAGAUAAAGAAGGAUUGGCCCGUGGGAGUACCAUAACCAACUCCGAUACGAGUUGUGUUUGUAAAUAUUUGUUUUUGUUUAAAAUUAGAGAUAGAUCCUAGUCGGUUAGGAAAUUGGUUGUAACAGGCUAUAAAUAGCCAUCCUUAGAGAUUUGUAAACAACACAUCAAUCAAUACAAACAAAUCUAUUUUUUUCCUUGUACUUUACUUUCAAGUCGGCGACUUCGCCAGAUACUUUUCUUCUUUCACGAGUUCGUACGGGUUGGCAGGGCUGCAUCAACUCGAUCUCUGGCCGAUUCUGUAAGUUCCGUUUAUCGAGUAAUAUCUAAGAUUUAACUUCGGGC
Molecule: long non-coding RNA, 527 nt
Filed under: Setaria viridis
Lineage: Eukaryota; Viridiplantae; Streptophyta; Magnoliopsida; Poales; Poaceae
Description: long non-coding RNA (SVIR_LNC003298)
Source: RNAcentral